GCGUACUUAGACAAUUUUGUAUACUUCUUCUCAUAUUCAACAACAGUCAUUGAACUCUGAGUGAGCUUCAAGAACUCACUUCGUUUUUCAUCAUGGAAAGAGUGCAGAUAAAACUAUCAAAGAAUGCCCCUUUAAACUCAUCCCAACUUAUAUCAACAUCAAAGUUAAAAAUCUCAUAAUUAAUUUUUCAUUCUCUUUUUCUCAAAGCUUCCUCCCAUAGCCAUGGAAUCUUCCUAGACUAUUUUCCUAAUUCGAGCAAACAAAAAUCAACCAAAUGCUUCACUAAAGAACUUCAUCAAACACAUUGUAAGUGACCAAAUUACUUCAUCACACAGCCAACCAUGGAGAAAAAAUAUAGAUUCACAUUGGGAAGAUGACCCUAGACAAAAAAAAAAAAAAAAAACAAUCUUCUUCAACAUAGCAAAAUGCUUUCUUCAUAGCAUGCCAAAAAUUAUUUAUGAGUUCCCUUUUGAAAAAUUGAAGAAAAUAGAAAAGAGAAAUUAAAUGCAUAUAGAAAAUUGAUAUUACCUAUUAGAUUUCGUUUCGGCCACAAAAGCAUAACCAACGUCGACGACCAAGGGAGUCUUGGAGCACACUGUAGUGACGUCAAACACCGACAUGUGAAAGGUCCAAUUCGCACAGCAAGCCAUCUCUCUUCUCCCUGAUCGUCUCGAC
This 675-nucleotide long non-coding RNA is filed under the name Cucumis sativus (cucumber). RNAcentral's name for it is "long non-coding RNA (CSAT_LNC000790)". Lineage: Eukaryota; Viridiplantae; Streptophyta; Magnoliopsida; Cucurbitales; Cucurbitaceae. The record is from RNAcentral.